ACACACACACACACGAGACAAAAUGAUCCACCCCGACACCUACAACAGACCGGGCCUGUCAUUUGAAUAAUAGUGACACAUGUGCUCAUUCAACAGUAAAUGUUGCACCAUGCGUGUCCGCAACGCUCAGAGGACCCCGACGCAUUAGCACGUUGGCGUCACGGGCCGGGGGCGUUAACCGUGUCAAGUGUGUGUGUGUGGGGGGGGAUAAUAAACUUCCUCCUGGGGUUUUCUACAAUGCUAAAAAUUCAACAAAUCUAUUUAAAGUGGACAAUAAAAAGAAGGACCAUCAAAGCAGCUUUGGCUCUCUAAAUCUCCUGACAUCGGGAUGAGCUGCAGGAUUUCUCGCAUUCGCAGGAUUCUCAAGAGAAUUUACACUCAUGCAGGCAAAGCUUCACACACGCAACACACACCCCCAGCUUUUUGCUGGGAGUAUUACAUCAUCCUCUAAUGUAAAAAUAGAGCCAGAGAUUAGGCCACUAGGCUACACGUGUGACAGCACGGCUUCUACGCAUAGUGCAUGCCGUCACUACCAAACACAAUUCAUCUCCACGGUUGAACAAAUGAAGCGUAUUAUUCAUUUUUUGUCUGUAUUGCGCCUUUUCAUUCCAGGCUUUAAGUCCCAGCCUGAGAGAAUUCACAAUGAUAUGUUGUUCAAACACGUGGAAUUUCCUCUUUCAACAUAACUGAGAACAGAAAAUCAAGCACCAAUCAGACGUGUCUAUUGUGGCGCUUUCUUACUUACAGCAAAAAAAAAAACACACAACACAGAAGCUUUGAGGUGAACAAUUCACGUAAAUUGCGUUAGCCGCCGUGGCGGCACUAAUUAACAGGGCUUGAGUCGUCUUCCGGCUCACUGACGACAGACAGAGAGGACACCGUGCAGAUGAAAGCCACGUCCCAGGCUCCCUCCUCCUCUCAUCCAUCGGGAUUCAACCAGGUCUUUGUCUUUGUCGUAAUCGAUGUGCGAGCUGAACAUUUGGUGCAUCCCGCUUGUUCACCGGGUGUAACGCGCUGUAGUAACAGCUGGAUCGCAGCGUUUUAUGUCUCUGAUUAUUUCUUCCUUUCGUUGGCCAUUACUCCCGGCAGGUAGUCACUAUAAUAGGUCACCGUGCAAGGCGAUGUUUGCCUUACAGUUUAACUAGAACAAAUACAGAGAAAUGUGGCUGCAGGUGUGGCCUGUUCACGGGCUGCAAGCGCCGUCAUCGUGUAACUGGACCGAUUAUUAAAGGAAAAGCAAUUCAAGAAUUGAUGAAAAGGUCUUAUCAGCUGUAUAUAGACAGAUUACCAGAUUGAUUGGUAACAACAAAACAAGUUCCUUCUCAUCACAUGAAUGAUGUAGUUCAUUUAUUAAUAGUAUCAUUAAGAUACACAAAAAUAUAAUAAAAAGCGGAUGUAUCUGAGUGGGUUAAAGGUUCAGGGAAAAUCUAUGAAUGAAUGAAUGAAUGAUUCUGCCAGCUUUCCCUGUCAUCAUGCAUUAUAUUUGCAAGUAUUUCUAUUAUGUAUGAAUAUUACAACUCAAAAAAGCUCAUUUUUGAAUAUGAGUAACCCAAUUAUUAUUGAAAGUCUGUGCCAUUUACAAUAAUCCAAUAGUCUCAUUGACACCUUAUACAACAAUUUCCUCAUCAAAAGGGUGUGUGUGUGUGUGUGUGUGUGUGUGUACAGCUGUGCAUAACAACUAAGGUGCAAGUGGGAUCCACAAAGCCCAUUGAUCAUUUUUGGAUGUUUUCCCAACUUUGAGGUCUUCUUUUGUUCGUAUUUCCAAAACGACCGAAGCUCUGUCAGGGACGCUCAUUGUUACUCAACAAAAGAAUCAAAUUCAGAGCAUCGUGUCAGACGCUGUCUGAGAGGUAUUCUCCACAUUCAAGUCUACAAACAGAAGUGUUUGUAUGAACCAGAAGAUCAAAAACUAGUAGAAAUACAAAUACCUGAAAGGACAGUACUCAUGGAUUGUCCCUCCAAACAUUAUCACUGCGUGAACACAAAGAUUACACACACAAAGCGUGAGUCAACAGGGAGAAUGAAUAGCUGGGUCACACCCUUUGAUAUCGGUUAUUGUCCAGAUGUAGUCAUUAUGCCGCUCUGCACCACCAAGCAGGUUACACUCUCUCACACACACACACACACACACACACACACACACACACACACACACACACACACACACACACACACACACACACACACACACACACACACACACACACACACACACACACACACGCAGUACACUGAGCAAAGAGCGCGUUCAAACACUCUGCAGUCCUUAAACUUUUUGUCCUUGAUAGUUGACACCACGAUUAGCUACUCUGCUUCAGCAAUGUUUUGCUGAGUAAAUGUGCCAGAGAUGCAGAACUGAGAGUUUCAGUGACGUGAUUCUAGUAUGAAUGGUGAGAAAUGGUGAGAAUAUGGAUUUACCAGCAAGGAAACGCCUGCCGGCCGCGAGGCUGAAGCACUCGGAUGGGGCUGCUAUGUGAAAGUCAUAUUGUUGCAGAUUGCACCAGACGUUAACGGUUUACAUUUAGUUCUGGUAAUUUUGAUGUACUAAAAAGGUGGAUGGUGCAGUGAAUGAAUAAAAUCAUUUUGUUUUAAUAUGAUAAAAAGGUAUUUCAUAAACAACCGUCUUAUCAGACCUUUAUGACCGCUCAUGUUAACGCUUGAGAAAGUAGCCAUGCGCAGGAAAAUUGAUUUGCAAUGGAACGUUAAAAAAUAAUUAAUAAUAAUGACAAUUUUUCUGCAGUAAAAUCUGUCCUUUCUGGCUCUUGUACUGCGUAUUUUGCAGCUUGUCUACAUGUUGUCACAACCUUUUGCGUUUGUAAAUCCCGCUCACAUUUGUAAAAUAAAAUGAAAUGCCUUUUCUUAUCAUCAAAAUUUUUUCUGCAGAUUUUUCUCCAGUUUACAGCGACUAUUCACAGAAUCAUUGCCACAAAUUCACCCUCUUGGCUCAGUCCACCCUGGCAGAUAAACAACGUCAGCACCGGCGAUAUCGGUUUAUCCACGCGUACUGAGUGGAGCCUCUCGGAAGUUCAGCUCUUUGCUUUGUAAUGAAUACGGGUAGGAAGGGGAGAGCUACACGUCGUCCUGUACUUUCCCAUGACUCCGCCUGCCGGUAAGAAACGCUCAGGCCUUUGUGUGAUUGAGUUAUGAGGCCUUCCAAGGUCACUUUUUACAUCCUGGCCCCUCUGUUUGCACUCAUGUCCAUCAUCCUUCUCGUGUGAACACACAGCGACAAAAGGAACCAAUUUGAGAUGUUUGGUUUUGCCGUGGAAUAAAUUCAGUGCCUGAUUGACCCGCCGGACUGAAUUUUGAUCAAAUGCUGGUUAAUCCGACCUUCAUUUGUUUUAAAAACAUUCCUUGGGCAUCCUCGUCUUCUCUCUUGCACGCCCCCCCCCACCCAGUUCCACCAUGGUCACGGCUAAUCCUCGGAGACUGGUCCGUGUUCGCCGGUCUCAGAUUACGCCUCCUAGUUCACAGGGAAAGCUGGAUCGGAGCGGACGUGCCUCCAUUUCACCACAAACACACACACACACACACACGCUGGUGUGAAAUAUGCAAAUCAGGGACAGAUAACCAGAUGGUAAAAUCCACAAGGAUUUUUACAGGCAGUGCUAUUCAUAGCUGUGCUUUUUGCUCUUCGUGUGGUCUUGUGUGUUCAUGGCUUCUUAUGGACGGUGGGAAAAGUGGCAUUCCAGUUGGAAUUGUAGCUGGUUACUCAAAUCGCGGCGGCAGGUUCUGGCAGGCCGAUCUAAAAAUCGACCGUGUUUCACACCUAUAAGCAAGCAGUCUGUGCACAGACUCAGAAGCCUUUUCUAAUUUGUUCACAAGAAAAUUGUUUUUGUUUGCUGUUUGCUUUUUUGAACUUUGAAGCCGAUCACUUUAACAUAACCACAGCCUGGAGUGGGUAGAAUACCGGCUACACAAUGUGUGACGCUUUCACCGUCACUUGCUUUUGCGCAGAGUCGACGGUUGCCGUCGGCAGCCCAACUGAGCAGACUGGAGGAACAUGUGGAAACCUCUCAAAAUAAACUUUCCCAGUGUUUUCUGUCCUUGAAAGCAAACCGUCCACAGACCAGUGGGGGAUGUCACAAUGACCACUUGUUAAAUACAGUCUUGGUGUGCGACCUUCAUCCCUUUCUAGGUGACAUAAUUCAAGACGGUCGAGUAGAGCUGGUCACGGCUCCUCUGAUGUUUUACUUCAGUGUAACCAGAGGACGCACGAUCCAGAUCGACUACAAUUUUACAGAGACCAGGACGCUUCUUGCUUUUGGGAGGGUGGCUCUUGGCAAACGGGGGGGGGGGGGGAUCGAUUCUUGAUCUGCAUUUGUAAAUUGCCUCGUGCAGCCGGACCGUCCGUAUGGAAUGCAGUUUUAGUCAAAAUGAAUAAAUACGUAAAUACAUGAAAUACGCAUUUGAAAUACAUCAUGAAAUAAAUAAAUGAGGCAAUAAAUACAUUUAAUUAUUUAAUGAUACUUUUAUUUCAUAAUGCCACUUUUCAUUUAUUUAAUUUUGACUAAAACGGCAUUCCAUACGUCCGGAGAAGGGACUCAAAAGGCCAAGUCGGGGGUUUAAGACACCAAAUGUCUGCAUGCUCUUUGAGCUCUGAUGCGAACAGACACACAGCUUGUAUGUACUUGUAUGCCUGUACUCCUGUUGGCUGAGUGUGUGUGUGUGUGUGAGCUCGUCCCUGAGAAUUACAGAUAAAAGGAGAGAAAUGAGAAACAAGACACUGCAUGGAUACAGAAUCGUGUGAAUUGUGAGAAAUCACAUGCAUGUCCCAGGAAACAGUCUAGCAUGUCGACCCGGACCGUCACUGCUCAACGUUCAGGGAAUCAUUUACCAAAGCCAGUGCCUCGUUUUGAAAUAGCUUCAUAAAUCAAUAUCCUCUGACCGGAGAAGCCUCCGACCUGCCACGCAGAGCCUUGGCGGGACAUGCAAACGUGACACGCAGCCAGCACAAGCCGCAACCUCGUCAUAACAACAACAACCCUGUCGUGACCUCGGCGCAUGGCGGGGGGGGGCGUGAGCGGUUCACAUGGUAAACAGGUCGCGGAGAGAAAGCGGGGGAGUGAGCAAACUGUCGUCGACUCGCCAACGGCGCGGCAAUGUAGACCCGGGAGAUGCCACAACCCCGAGGGAACCCGGAGAGCCCCGGAGCCGCGGCAGCCUGCCGGAGAGCAGCGAGGCAGCUGCAGGGGGCAGGCGGCCCGGCCCGCGGGGGGCUCCAGUUGCAGUUAAUUAAGAGCGAGGUUGUGUUCCCUGAAUCAACUGCCGGAGCGACGUGGCCACGAACCUUAAACCGAGGCCCGUGGAUGGCUGGUUUACAAAUAUCAGCUGUCCUCGUUCAGCGAGCACACACUCACUCCAAUGUGUAGGUGCCAACCCCAGCAAUCACACUGACAAGAAACCUGCUAGAGGCAAUAUAAAAGUGUAGAUUGAUCACAGGAUGAUCCAGUGGGACGGUAACUGAAGACCCACACAGAGCCACGAAGCCGUAAGCUUUAUCGAGGAGAGGAUGGAAAAAAAGACUAAACUUUAAUCCCUGACUCACAUAUUACAAGGAGCUAAUCGGGCGCAGCACAGAUUAGGACAUGACAAGUACAUGGCUAUGAAAUUUUGUUUCAAUAAUAAAAAAGGAUGGGGGGGGGUAACUAGAGAAGAGUGAAUUUCACUAGAAGAAGAAGAGUGCAACAUUUAUAUUUUACAAUUUUUUUAUAUCUCGCCUAAAUGUAUAUUCCCUCGCUUUAAUUCUGCGACUCCUUUUGUUUUUCCAACGUCGUUUGUAUUAUUAAAUAACAAAAUAUUUCGAUAACUUUAUUGGCCUUGAACACAGACAUUAAAAAAAUAAAUAAAUAAAUAAAUAAUGAAACGUAGUUUGUCAAAAAAAAAAAAAAAAAGCACUUUAACUACGGUCAUUGUGUCUGUAGUUCUGACAGCUGCUGUGCGAAGCAGGUGUCAGCCAGGCAUCUUUCUGUAUAAUUAAAGUAGUGGCAGAGGCCGCCCCCACCCAAACACAAGCCCUCCAGAUACUGCCCACACUAAUAUUACACAUUCACAGGUUGGUUGUGCCUAUCGGGUGGGGGGUGAAAGAGAAACUUUUUCAACCCACAGACAGAAAUCCAGCCCCACCGGGACGGAAGAAAAGACACUGGGAGGCCUGGCCUGCGAAGGGCUGUUUACCUUCUUCUGGGAAAGAACAUUUAGGAGGGCUUGUUUCUCCAUGAGGGCUGCCAAAAGAAGAAUUCAUCUCUUGUGCAGAUAGGCGGAUAACAAGGCCCCGGGACACACACACACACACACACACACACACACAGUGAAAUACGACGUGUCCCCUGGAGGGACGGGCGGUUUGCUGGAGUCAAAGGGCCCGACAUGAGAGGAGGGCUCACGGCCAUAAACUGAGCAGCUAGUAGAUGCUUCCUGUAGCCGGUUAGCUGAGGACAAGCUGUUAUAUAGGAUAUAUAACGGUGUGUCAGACCAAAAGGUAAAAUCUAUCAGGACGCGCCGGCUCUUUGUUGUGUAUCGGAGUGCAGGGACAUGGUUUAUUCAAGGGUCGUUGGCAACACGUUUAGAUCCUCAUUCUAAGCUAAUGUUUGGAGUAAAACGUGUUUAGUUGGACCUUUGGUGUGAUGCAUGUUAGGACGAGGACCGGAGAGAUCAAAUCCCAGCAACGUCAUCUAGUCAUCAUUCUUAACGGUUCUUAAUGGUUUAAAAGCACUGAAAGCAUUUGUAGAGCUGAGGGAAGCUGAAGGGGCAAAGUGCUUCUGCUUCACGUCACACAGCACCUUUCAGGAGCUUGAGCACCCUGCAAACGUCUUUAAUGUGGAGCUGCGAGAAAUCACCAAAGCAAACGGACCCGCGCACAACAUCAACCCGGGGGGCUUCGCCGUUAGCCCUCCGAAUCGGACGUGCAUGAAGCCACGCUGGGAAUUGUUCUGCUGAGAAAAAACGAAAUGGAAAAACAGCAACAUUCUAACAUCCACGGUAUCUUAACGGCUUCUGUCCGUCUGACUCAACACUGAGCAACAGGCCAACACUCACACGACCUCAUUUCAGGACACGGUUGGAGGUCGGGAAACAUGGAAACUGUGCUUCAUCGCGCGGUGCCUUCCUUUGCUGUACGCGGUCGACGCAGAACCCUGAAACGGUUAACAAGGCGCCGCGAGCGUCUCCUGUCUGCAGACUCCUUUUAGGGACUCACUGGCUGCAGACCGCAAUCUGCACGCCGGCCCGACAGCAGCGGGCUUCACGCGAGCCAACGGACCUGCGGGAGGCUAAACCCGAAGGUCACGACACGGCAGGAGGUGUCCUCAGAGGACGUCCCGCCUCCCGUAGCGGUGCGGUACUUUGUAGGGUCGGUGCCAGACAGGAUCUCGCUCUCUCUCUCCCCCUCCCUCGGAGAGACAGUUAAGCGAGGGGGAGGGGGGGUCAGUGUUUCCACACCGCCUUCAAAAAGAUGAGGCAGGCGCCAUCAAACGGAUUGAAUUAUUAAACCAGCCUCGUCCGGGUAUCCAGCAGAGUCCACCGGACCACUUUAUGAGGAGGAAACGGCUUGUUGUUCCGACUCCAUGAUGAAAGGGGGGGACAUAGCAGCGAAAUCCGCUGACUAGAAUAGAAGACAUUACUCUUCAUUAUGAAUAAAUUGGAGAAUGAGUGCACAGUUAGCUGUUUUUAGAGGGGAAACAAAAACAAUAAAUAUGAGAGACAGAAAGCCAGCCUAGUUUAUCAUCACAACAUGGAUGAAUAGAAAGCUCAAAAGACGCCAUCAGACUGUAUUAGAAAUCCCGUGAUGCCAAUAUUGCCAUUUAUCGAUUUGCAACAUGUCUCCCGGUUGCUUCCUUACAAACAGCGCUCCAUGACACACGUCGAUCAUCUCACGACGUGCAGCCACGUCCGAUCACCCAGACCUACGAAAAGGAUUCAAUGCCGUCUAAGCAAACAUCCUUCCCCUGGUCCUUCUCUGCUCCGCAUCCUGAUCCAUAAAGGAGCUAAACAGCGAGUUAUGGGAACACGGGCGGCCUAACAGAGGUAGCACCUGCCCACCGGUGGGAGAAGACCUUUCUCGGGACGCCUUUGCAUCGACGCUUGCUGCGGCCAGGAAGAGGAGGCGGAUGAAACGACGAAACGACGCGGGUGAAUACCGGAGAUCCAAAGAACGAGCGCUUCAAGCAGAUAUGGGUCUCCGCCAGGUCAGGACCUCACCGCUCCACCGAGCCACAGGGGAGGGGGGGGUGGCGGGGUCGAUGGCGUGGUCCACCUCUGGAACGGUAUGUGUCGUCAACGGGGGGACGCACAACGAAGUGAAGCAUGCAUCAAAGUCGGUCCAACCUUCUACGGUGCAACAGGUUGGACCUCUGGGCCUAAAAACAACAACAACAACAACACCACCACCAUCCCUCACGCUCUUUGAGCAUCAUCGCUCGUCCAGUUCAUUUCUUUUUUUGGAGGCUCUGCUUACAUUAGAUACCGAAAAACCAUUGUGCUCGAUUGUUGUUUAACACAACUUGGGAUUGGCGUGUGUUGUUCUAUACUAUUCUGCAACAUAUGUGUAAAAAAUGUGACGUUAAAAAGGUAAUGCAUGGGAGCAGCUGGAUUGUCCCAAACAAAAACAAAAAAGAAAACUGGUGCUCCCUGUCAAGGACAAACAAUUAGCAUGUUGUUGUUUUUCAAAAGUAGCCUUCGUAUACAACAACAUCAUUUGAAAUUGUAAUAAUACCAAUCCGAUAUUUGUCAAUAAAAGGACACACCUAAAGAAGAGAGGAGACUUUGAGCCACAUCAUCGCGCCCCAUAUGAGGAUAUUUCAAUAGUGCAAACAUCGCCACCAUUCAACACAUUCCACAGGCUCUUCAAUAGAACUCAACGUGACAUGGAACAGACGUUCAAAGCAGAGUUUGCAGAUCCUCUGAUGCGCCGUUUCAGCAACGCGCACGUACGAUGCACAAAAAAACAACGUAGUUAAGAUCGUUAGUAACUCUGCUAAAACCACGCGAGCGUGACAUUCCCCCGGACACGCUGCAGCCAGCGGGUCCCGGGUAACACGUUACACAACGCGCCGCUAGGAACAUCCCUUCUUACCUCUGGAGUGAGUGGCCUUUAUCAUUCGCUCGUACGUGGCCGGAACUAUUCCAUGUCCGCGCG
This is a long non-coding RNA of Gasterosteus aculeatus aculeatus (three-spined stickleback), 9136 nucleotides long. The record is from Ensembl. Lineage: Eukaryota; Metazoa; Chordata; Actinopteri; Perciformes; Gasterosteidae.